CAUAGCAGGGGGUUGAAACUCAAUGAUCACUGUGGCCCUUUUCAACCCAGGCCAUUCUAUGAAGAAAAGGCUUUCAGUUAGAAGACCAUUAAAAAUCUGUAUGAAAUGCUAUUUGUGUGUUAAAAUGGAAAGCUUCAAAUACACUGAAAGGCAUCUGGCUUGUUCUUUGCGUGGUUGUGGAUGGUACCACCCAUCUUGUCUGGCUCAGGCACACACUGGCUGUGCCUGACAGCAAGAGCAGUCUUGUGGCAACUUCUAAUUCAGAGGGCUUUCAGCCAUCCGAGCUACAAGUGCUACUUGAUAUUGCAGGAAAGACUGAACAAUUUAUGCAUAGCUCUGGGAUUUGCUUACUUUGCCAGGAGUGUGCAGUGCAGACAGUAAGGCUGGAAUGGAGGCUGUGGAUCCAUUGACAACCCAGGGCAAGACUGCAUCCCCAUCACAGCUAAUAGAGUGAUAAGGUGACUGUUACAGACUGUAGCUGAUCCAUUGGUUCCAGAUACACUCAACAAUUACUAACUAGACAUGCUGAUUUGCAAUAAAUCACUCAAACUAAAGGAUGUUUCUACACUCCACUCAUAGUUCCAAGCGAGUAUUAUUUUCUAGUUAGCUUCUCCACUACUGAGUAUUUGACUUUUUUUUUCUUUUAUUUUUCUGUAGUUCUGUGAUUGUUCUACAACAAUACUGCAUUAACUUGAAAUGGUUUAAAAUCUGUCAGGCCAAGAUCUGAAUAACCACAUGUACCAAGGCAAAAAUAUUGUGGUGAAGCCCAAACCAGGGAUGAAGACUGUGCAAGAUGUGAAGAAAUGAAAUUAAGGGAAGAAAUCAAGAUGACUGACAGGAACAUUGGUAAUAUAUACAAAGGAACUGUUGCCUGAACGGGAAUCAUCAACGUCCUUUAGAGGAAGGAGAGAUGAGGGUGGCAACAGACAGUGAAAUUGAAGCCUACAGUGGGAAGAGCCGCUGCCCUCUUUAGUGACUGAUGAUGCUCCAAAAGCAAAAAGUGAGAUUCAAGUGAUGUUCAAUUGCUGUCAUGUUUUACACUAGGAGCAGCUUAUGGAUGCCUCUUGCUCUGCUUCUUGCUGGUCUCUGCCUGGCCUGCGCUCACUCAUCAUAGGCAACUCUUUUGGUUCUGCUGGGGAACCUGGAUGCACAGCUGAUUCCCAACUGGAGCCAGGGCAGCAUGCCCUUGCAGAGCUGCUCCAGUGAAACAUCCAGCUGUGUCUAGCUGCAUUCUCCCACUGUCAUAACAUGAAAACCUGACACUACUUCUGUCCCCCACCCACCCCUCUGCCCCUUUUUAUUUUUUUUGGCCUGUAUUACAGAUGGUUGCUCAGUCAGGCACAGAUUUAGCCAGGACAUUAUUUGCUUCUAUUAGUACCAGCCAUUGCCACAUUCCUGUGCAUAUCAGGUUAUGCGGACAAGUCAUAAUGCCAUGCAGCCUCUUGUUUACAUCAGGUGUUAAUCUGCCUCAGCUCUAUAAGUAAGCCGUAGGAACUCUGGUACUCAGGCUUUCAGUCCUUUUUUUUCCCUUUUUUUACUUUUUCCUCCCCUCCCCCCCAUUAUCUACUACACUCAGUUCAGUAUCUUCUGAAUAUCACUGGUUGAAAAUAUUUCAGUUCUUGCAUUUUAGAUGUCAUGUUGUUAAUUUGGUACAAUACCCAGAAAAGCAUACUGAGCAAACUGCUCUGUGUGCAUGGUUAUUUUAAAUGAAAGUAAUGUGGCACUGCUAGCACAAGUGGUGAUUUCACCCUCCUUCACUCCCUGCACUCCAGCAACCUCUGCCUGAUGUGAGCAAAAGGCACUUGUGUGGUCACGCUGGAAGGGGGAACUGGUUUCUGAGCUGAGUGCUUUAGUUGGUUUUCAGCUGGAUCAGUUUUCCAGCCUGAUCCUCCACAAACAGCAGAGAAGUGAUGGUGUGGGCAAAGGAUUGUGCCCAGGUGCAGGAAAGUCUGUCUUUCUUUUUAUGGAGAAGAAACUUACGUUGGCAUAAAGAGUUGUGAUCCUGCAAGGGUGUACCCCUCUGAUGGUCAUUAACAAGUUAACCAUGCAUUGCAAACAUUGCAUACACCAUGACGACUUAUUGUAGUAUCUAACAAUAUAUAUUGACCCUUUACCUAAUUACAGCAACAGAACUGUAAGUUUGGAAAGGCAGUAAUUGAAAUAGGCCAUGGUAAACAUUGUUAACUAUUUUAUGAAUUUCCUAUUCAAAUGUUGGCACUCUGCAUUUUAAUAAUCAGGUCGGGCUGAUCAACAACAGUGUUUUAUUUCUUUUUUUUUGUUGUUGUUGUUGAGUUUUUUUAAAACCCCAAUUUUGAUAUAAUUCAUUAUUCACUUGAGAUGACAUUAGAAUAAAUUAAUAUUAAAAUAUUUAAAUGUAGAAUAAAGAGUUUGAAAAGUUACAGAGAUUGAUCACUCGAGAUGCAACGUUGAUGCUUCAUUAGUCAUGGAUCUCCAUGUUGCUGGGCUGAGUACCCGUUUUGCCUCAUUAGCAUUUUUUUCUUUAAUGCUGACUGGACUGUAUUCAGGCUUCAUUGUAUACGAUUUAAUAAUGGCUCCUGUCAACAGCCUAAGUUGCACGUGAAAACUGGAAUACCCUUCACUGCAAACCAUAGCAAUCUAGGCUUCCUAGCAAGGUGAUUGAUGCCCUGAAACUGUCAGCAUUUAAAAGCUUUUAAUAAUAUGCUUUACCUUUUGGUUAGCCCCGAAGUGGUCAGUUAGUUGGACUUUAUUUUUCUUGGUUCUUUCCAACAGGAUCUAUUCUAUUCUGGAACUUUAUAAAAAUAGCCAUAAAAUCUUUGUAUGGCUUGAUUUUUUUCUCCUUGCGAAAAGUUUACCUUUCCAGUAGAUUAUAAAGUGUGUUGCUGAUGUUGCUCAUUCCAAAAGAAAUUCCAAAUCUGAUUUUGUAAUCAGAUUAAGAUUUGGGAACAGGGACACAGAUGGAGUGAGAGAAGAACAGUUUUUUGUGCAAGAUGUGACUUGAAGAGCAAUGGCAUUUAUACUAAAAAGGCCAGAUCUUUUAGCAUUUUCCAGUGUUGACUUUGGCCCACAUGCAGAAAGAGGAGGUUUCUAAGCCCCCUUAAGAUCUUGGCCAAUCCCGAACAAAUAAAUGUCUGCACUGCUAGUUCACCUUGCUCACAACCCUGAGGUGUGAGGUGGAAAAAUCCCUUUGCAACCAGGGAUGUGCCCCGUUCCAGCCUGCAGUGACUGGGCUGUGGCAGGGAACAGGUGCAGAUAGCCCAGCAGAUGGCUGGAAGUCCUUAAUCUGAGCAGUAAUGCUAACGUAGCCAUAUGGUAAAGAGCCGUAGGAGAGGCCAUUUUUCUAAUAGCAGGCAAUAGCCAGAGUUUAGCUGAGGAGAGAAAAAGGCAAGCUUUCCAAUGAUUAAGCCCUUUGACAUCUGCAGUGUAGGGGAAGAGCGGGGAGCUACUCUGGACCAUUCACAGGUUGACAGUUCAUCAGCUCCAUUACGGAGAGUAGCACUUUGUGUGCAGGAGCCUUGCCCUGCAUCUAAAGGAGGCAGUGUUUGUCCUGUAGAUGGCUGUCAAAAUAGGAUCUUGUUCUGUGCAGAUUGGGCAGGGAAGUGCUCAGCCCCUGGGUUGUGCAAGCUGGACAGGUGUCCCAGUAUCGUUGUGAGAGAGUUCUUGAGGGGAUCAUGGUCCUGAUGCUUCAGGAGUGGUGUCUCCUGAAUGAGACAUCUGCCAGACACAAGCAGAAAGUGAUAAAGGAGAAUCAAAGCCUUUUGGUGGUGGGCUGAGGACUGCCGAGGGCAGGGGCCCUUGGAGGGGAUGAAGUGUGAGGCGAUUCGUGUUGGCUUAGUCAGUGUCACUCUUAAACUGCCUGGAGUUUCCCUUUGUUCUUAAGACAAUAGAUACAAAUCUGAGCCUGUCUUCCUUCCUCAAAAGCUGUUUCCAAGGGCUUUCCUCUGGAAAAAUCUUCUGUUUCCCCUGGCUAAUCAUUCCUGGCCUGGGGCCUGGAGAUGUGAUGCAGCUUGUCCCUCCGGAGCAGCUCAGCCCAACCUGCCAGGCCUGCAGGUGUGCUUUGAGUGCAAACCCAAAGGCAAGAGCAUGAAGCACCAGCAAAUGGAGGAGGACAGUGCCUGGCUCUGCCACUGGGCACUGCCUGGACCUGACUGUUUGCACAUGCCUGUCUCCUGCCCAAGGGCAAAUGCAGAGGCAGCAGUAGUUCCUGUGCCCUGGGGCAGAGAUCAGGCAAAGCCAGCAUGUGGAGACACAACUCUCCAUUCUUCUGACUUGGAUGUGAUGGUUUUUGUUUUUGUAGUUGUGUGUGGUGCCAACUCGAUCUUUGUUCCUUAAUUGCUUCUAAGAAAUGAGUCUCAAAAAUACCCUUACCUGUGGUCUUAAAAUUCCUCUCUGUUAGUUGCCACUCCAGUUAUAUUCAUUUUCUGUUUUUUUGCCCUCCUUAAAUCCUCAGCAGAGAAGCUUAAGGUUUUGCAUUUGCAGCUGUGUCAUGUUAAUGAAAAGACAGCUUUAAAAUGGAUUAAAAGCAGGCAGAAGAUUGAAUGACCUCUGCACAGACACCAAUGGGAUGUAGAUUUCAGUCAGCGGGCCUGAUUUUGCUGAUGUGUGCCCUGUGGGAUUUGUAUUAUGGCAAUGUACCGUGCAUGCUACAAGCCCAUUGCAGCUCCUGCCUGGUGUGAUGCACUGGGGGGUGUUCAAAUCCAUCAGUAGAGCAGCACAGCACAUGCCCUUCUGAUUCACAGAAUGCUCCCAUGGCCUCUUCAGCAUCCUGGAAAGUGCAGCUGGGGCAAACACACUGGGCUGGCAGGUGGAUGAUGUGCAUCGUCCUGAGGGACGAGGAGGAGGAAGGUGCCUUUCUGGGCUUCCAGACAUGUGGUCUCAGAUCUCAGGCUGUAAGGAAAUAAACCUUCCCAGGAGGUGGGGUCUCAUGGGAAAAGUACUCUGUUCCACAAAGCUCCCUGGUCCAAGGAGAAUAGAGCCGAGGCUUUGGUACUAGCUACUGCACAAGAAACAGUUCCAUGCUGUCUCAGUGGAUUCUGUCACCCAGACAUUAAAAGCACAUCUGAAAAUAAGCUUUAACAUUUUUUUUUUUGUCUUUUUUUCUUUCUUGCCCUUGUAUCCACUGGGGAAAGCUUCCUGUUCCCAGCUAUCAGUUCAGCCAGUGCAGAACUAUCUGGGGAAUUAAUGAAUGCAGAGGGAGCAGCAGGAUUUAGAGGAGAUGCAGGUGGGUGGAGGAGGACUGCUGAGAUGAAUGUUUCCAGGGGAAAAACUAUGUAAAACUUUCUGCUUGCACAAGGGAAAACUCCAACUAGUUGCACAGUCACUGCGGUGGAGAUCACAGGAGAAGUGGGAGUGACCCAGGCUCAAACUGUGCAGUCAAAAGAAAGCUUGCUUGUGGUGGGGAGGGGGUCUUCAGAUCCUCCCAGCACCACAGUGUCUUCACAUAUGUUCCCUAUCAGCCCCAUGCAUGAGCAGUAGGUGGUCAGUAUGCUCUGCAUGCUUGCACUUGUUUUUCUUAGGUACCCAGCAGGCUAAUCUGAUUCAGAUACUCUGCUUUUCCACACUCCUGAGAACAGAGCAAAGGCACUUUAUGUGACAAUAAACUUCAGAGUUCUCCUGUAGAGCCUACCUUGUGACCGUUUUGUGCCAUGGUCUUCUCAGAGGCUCAUGGGUAAUAGUUGUUUGGGAGGCACAAUAAAAAACUUGGCAGCGCAUUACUGACUAAUUGCUGAAUUUAAACCACUGAAACAAAAGUUCAAAUUCAAAACUGUUGAAUUCUCAAAGGGCUGCAGGUGUUUUCCUCUGACAAACUGGUUUGUUUUUCCUUAAAAUUUAUGCUACUUGGCAGAAGUAGUGUGUAUAGAAUUAAAAUCUAGUGGGUCCGUAUCUCUUUUGCCCCGUUCCCUGUGCUCUAUUAGUGUGUCACCAUUUCAUUGUACUGCACCCUGUUUCCUGAGGUGGUAACCAAAGUCCUGAAGGGCAGAACAUCUUGCUGGAGUCAGAUAAGACCCUGCAGAAGCUGCACCUGCAUGUGCUUUAGACUCUUUCUGAGAAGUGGGUCUAAAGUAUGUUUCUGUUCCCCUCCUAUCUUUAACUUAAAAACAUCGAAAAUUUUAGGGAUUUUUUCUUGCGAUGUCAAUUUAAAAGGUAAGAUAACUUGUUCCACAUCUUUUGUUGACAGCUGUGAGAGGGCUUUCUUAUUCCUCAGAAGGGGGUUUGUAUCCUGCCCGCAUCUCUAAGGAGUGUGGCAGGAGAGCCAAGUGUGCUGUAGGACAUGGAGAAGCUAGAAAAUGUGGGUCAUCACACAAAGGCUACAAAUAGGCUGCGGGUGGGCUGAAAAACAGCAGGCUUCAUGUGCUCUUAUCCUAGCUGGGCUAUGAAGUAGAGGAGGAGAAAAUCAUCACUGGUCAUCUCUUCACAUUGCUGGAUAAAGGCCAAGAUGGUAUUUGCUGGGGGCAGCAGCUGGAGAGGAGAUGCGGAGAAGAAGUCUGGGAGAGUGCAGCUUGAAAUCAGAUUGCUGUGCUGCUCCCCCUCGCUCAGAGGAGCAAUGAACAUAAUCAGGUGCUUGUUAGUGGGAUUAUCUUCUCCGAGGUGUCAGAGCAGUUGAAACAGCUGAUUGGCUGGAGGAGUGGGUCCUCCUGCCUAAGGAUAGACUAAAACUACUGAUCUCCCCAAAGAAGCUGCCCUUCAGCAGAUGAGUGUUGAUGUGGGGCAAUACUGGCACUUUACAGCGUGGGGAAGGCUUGAGCCAAAUGAAGGCGAGUGCUUGUGUUGGGGCAUAGACAUCAGGGUGCAAGAGGACUGUGAUGGAAAAGCCUAAGGCUGGGGGCUGAGAAGAAUUCUAAACAGGAGCUUGUCCAAAAUAUCUGCUUUACUUUGCCAAAUUUGGGAUGAAAGUCUUAGUAAAACUAUUUUUUCUUAAACCAAGGAAUCCUUCUUUAAGGAACCGAAGCUCACAAAAUUAGAACAACAACAACAAAAAACACAACAAAGCCAAUACAACAGCAACAAACAUUAGUGGAAAAAAAUAAACCAUGCUUUUCCCCCCCCCCCAUCUUUUUAGUUCUGGGCAAUUUUUAUCAUUUCUAAGGCUGAUCUUAUCCAAACAAUUUGAGCACAGAUGGUGAGGCUGUUUGUUUUUUUUUUUUCCUAAACUCCCCACGAGUUU
Molecule: long non-coding RNA, 7144 nt
Organism: Gallus gallus (chicken)
Lineage: Eukaryota; Metazoa; Chordata; Aves; Galliformes; Phasianidae
Exons: 3
Source: RefSeq, a predicted model, not a curated record